RNAcentral lists this ribosomal RNA (608 nucleotides) under uncultured Gammaproteobacteria bacterium. RNAcentral describes it as "bacterial SSU rRNA". It matches the Rfam family "Bacterial small subunit ribosomal RNA", at positions 1 to 614 of the family's 1533-position model. The record is from RNAcentral. Lineage: Bacteria; Pseudomonadati; Pseudomonadota; Gammaproteobacteria.
UGAGUUUGAUCAUGGCUCAGAUUGAACGCUGGCGGCAGGCCUAAGACAUGCAAGUCGAGCGAGAAAGCCCUUCGGGGUGAGUACAGCGGCGGACGGGUGAGUAACGCGUAGGAAUCUACCCAGUAGUGGGGGACAACUAGUGGAAACGCUAGCUAAUACCGCAUACGCCCUACGGGGGAAAGCGGGGGACCUUCGGGCCUCGUGCUAUUGGAUGAGCCUGCGUAAGAUUAGCUUGUUGGUGAGGUAAUGGCUCACCAAGGCGACGAUCUUUAGCUGGUCUGAGAGGAUGAUCAGCCACACCGGGACUGAGACACGGCCCGGACUCCUACGGGAGGCAGCAGUCGGGAAUAUUGCGCAAUGGGGGAAACCCUGACGCAGCCAUGCCGCGUGUGUGAAGAAGGCCCUAGGGUUGUAAAGCACUUUCAAUUGGGAGGAAAAGCUAAUGGUUAAUAACCAUUAGCCCUGACGUUACCUUUAGAAGAAGCACCGGCUAACUCCGUGCCAGCAGCCGCGGUAAUACGGAGGGUGCAAGCGUUAAUCGGAAUUACUGGGCGUAAAGCGCGCGUAGGCGGUUUUUUAAGUCGGAUGUGAAAGCCCCGGGCUCAACC